This 497-nucleotide ribosomal RNA is filed under the name uncultured bacterium. RNAcentral's name for it is "partial 16S ribosomal RNA". It matches the Rfam family "Bacterial small subunit ribosomal RNA", at positions 28 to 507 of the family's 1533-position model. The record is from RNAcentral.
GAUGAACGCUGGCGGCGUGCCUAAUACAUGCAAGUCGAGCGAACGGACGAGAAGCUUGCUUCUCUGAUGUUAGCGGCGGACGGGUGAGUAACACGUGGAUAACCUACCUAUAAGACUGGGAUAAUUUCGGGAAACCGGAGCUAAUACCGGAUGAUAUUUUGAACCGCAUGGUUCAAAAGUGAAAGACGGUCUUGCUGUCACUUAUAGAUGGAUCCGCGCUGCAUUAGCUAGUUGGUAAGGUAACGGCUUACCAAGGCAACGAUGCAUGGCCGACCGGAGAGGGUGAUCGGCCACACUGGAACUGAGACACGGUCCAGACUCCUACGGGAGGCAGCAGUAGGGAAUCUUCCGCAAUGGGCGAAAGCCUGACGGAGCAACGCCGCGUGAGUGAUGAAGGUCUUCGGAUCGUAAAACUCUGUUAUUAGGGAAGAACAUAUGUGUAAGUAACUGUGCACAUCUUGACGGUACCUAAUCAGAAAGCCACGGCUAACUACGUG